This 1075-nucleotide long non-coding RNA is filed under the name Ananas comosus (pineapple). RNAcentral's name for it is "long non-coding RNA (ACOM_LNC014741)". Lineage: Eukaryota; Viridiplantae; Streptophyta; Magnoliopsida; Poales; Bromeliaceae. The record is from RNAcentral.
AACUAACUAAACUAGAUAGUGAAACUCAAUUGCAACAACGUAAAGCUAGGUAAAAUUAUAUGAAGCUUAUUUGAACUAUGGACCAUUGGAUUUAGCUAUUCAACAUUUCAAAAUUUUGAUUUUACUAUCUAACUUUUCGCUCUGUUUGAUUUGAUUCCGCCAAUGACAGUUUGACUUCAAAAAUUUAAUGCAUCAUCUGUUUUUACGGAUUUAGUUCAUAUAUUUCAUACAAGUCUCUAACUAUAAGUUUAUUAAAAUAAGUGAUUAGCUUAAAUUUUAGAGCUAAAGUGUCAUCGACUCACUCAAAUAAAACAAAUUGAAAAGUUGGCUAAUAAAACUAAAAUUUUGAAAGGUUAGGUAGCUAUAUGGUUUAUAGCUUAAAUAAGUUUUAUAUAUUUUUCUCAAAAAAAUUAAAAUACAUAAACUUUCUUAUAAGUACUCAUAAUUUUUUUUUAACUUUUCUGCCAAUUUUCAAAAAUUUACUUUUUGUCGUUUUAAAAUUCAAAAUUUUUUUUAAAGGGUUACGACAUCAAUAGAAAUGACAAAAUGACCAAACUAAUCUUGCUUAUUUUAUAAGAAAAAAAAUAACUUUUAAAUAUAUCUUUAUCAUUUCAAAGAGUAUUUUGAUAUAAACUAUAAGAAAUGAGCCGAAUAGUGAUAGAAUCCUAACUUAGGUUUAGUCUGGCUUUGAGGUCCAUGUGACGCUAUUAGAUAAAAAAGAGUUAGAGUAAAAGUAUAUAGGGAUAUAUUUCUGUGUUCUCUGAUGGAACUGUAAAAAAUAUAUCGUAACCGAUUCACCGUCAUAUGCGGAAAAUAAACUUAACUGAAAAUAUGAAUCAACUAAGAUUCGAACAUGGGACCUCGGGUAUCAACUAUCAAGUUCUUUACCACUUGCGCUAGGGAUGGUUGGUUGCGGAAUGCGAUAUAACGUAUGGAACAAACAAGAUAUUUUUUUCAAUAUAUAUUUUUUUCACAAUUCCAAACAAAGCCAGAAGUGAACUAAAUAUAUAAAAUUUUUAAAAAAUAUAUAAAUUUUUAAAAAUAAUUUUUUUUAGUUAUUUUAAUAAGAAAAAGC